AGAGCAUUCUCUUUCAAGAGAGAAUCGCAAUUAAAUAAAGGGAAGUUCAAAAGCAAGCCUUUAAGGUCUUGAUUCUUAAUGUCAAUUCGAUAAAUUACAGUAUUAAAGUAAAAAGUUGAAAAGUAGAAAGUAGUAUUGCUUUGUGACUUUUAACUGGUAAACUUUAAAACUGUUAUGGACAGUCUCAUAGCUCAGCUGGUUAGAGCGCUACACUGAUAAUGUAGAGGUCGGCAGUUCGAGUCUGCCUGAGACUACAACGGGUCAUCAGGCCACAGAAGUUCAUUUGAAAUAACAAAAAGGAAAUUUUAGAGGUUGAGUAGCCGUUAUAAGUACAGUUAACUGAUAACUGUUAACUGAUCACUGAAAAUGGGGGAUUAGCUCAGCUGGCUAGAGCGCCUGCCUUGCACGCAGGAGGUCAUCGGUUCGACUCCGAUAUUCUCCACCAGGCAAUGCCUGGAGAUCUGAAAGAUAAUCUUCAGAGUUUGCAGUGGGAAGCAUAGAUUGUUUAUAGGUCUAUCGCGACUCGCGAUCGUUCAUUGACAUAUUGAGAAAUAAAGAAUACGAGAAACUAACGCUUAUUAUGUGAUAGGGUUUGUAAGAAUUCUAUUGUAAUAAUAGCAAAACAAAAAAGUUAACGACCAUCGUUAAGGUGGUUGUGCGAGCAUAUUAGGUAAAAAGCA
RNAcentral lists this transfer RNA (680 nucleotides) under uncultured Flavobacteriaceae bacterium. Its description in RNAcentral is "16S-23S ribosomal RNA intergenic spacer". The stretch from base 181 to 254 matches the Rfam family "tRNA". Lineage: Bacteria; Pseudomonadati; Bacteroidota; Flavobacteriia; Flavobacteriales; Flavobacteriaceae. The record is from RNAcentral.